This 26-nucleotide transfer RNA is filed under the name Erucastrum austroafricanum. Its description in RNAcentral is "partial tRNA-Phe". Lineage: Eukaryota; Viridiplantae; Streptophyta; Magnoliopsida; Brassicales; Brassicaceae. The record is from RNAcentral.
GCCGGGAUAGCUCAGUUGAUAGAGCA